GCACUCGUAGCUCAGCUGGAUAGAGCACUUGCUUGCGGAGCAAGAGGUCGUGCGUUCGAAUCGCGCCGAGUGUACCA
Molecule: transfer RNA, 77 nt
Filed under: Saccharimonas sp. (SeqCode)
Lineage: Bacteria; Candidatus Saccharimonadota; Candidatus Saccharimonadia; Saccharimonadales (SeqCode); Saccharimonadaceae (SeqCode)
Description: tRNA-Arg
Rfam family: tRNA
About the family: Transfer RNA (tRNA) molecules are approximately 80 nucleotides in length. Their secondary structure includes four short double-helical elements and three loops (D, anti-codon, and T loops).
Source: RNAcentral